UACAGAGGGGGCAAGCGUUGUUCGGAAUUACUGGGCGUAAAGGGCGCGUAGGCGGCCUGCUAAGUCGAACGUGAAAUCCCUGGGCUCAACCCAGGAACUGCGUCCGAUACUGGUUGGCUUGAAUCCGGGAGAGGGAUGUGGAAUUCCAGGUGUAGCGGUGAAAUGCGUAGAUAUCGGGAGGAACACCAGAGGCGAAGGCGGCGACCUGGACAAGGACUGACACUCAACUACGAAAGCGUGGGGAGCAAACAGG
RNAcentral lists this ribosomal RNA (253 nucleotides) under uncultured bacterium. RNAcentral's name for it is "partial 16S ribosomal RNA". It matches the Rfam family "Bacterial small subunit ribosomal RNA", at positions 524 to 776 of the family's 1533-position model. The record is from RNAcentral.